GCGGGCGUAGCUCAGUGGUAGAGCAUCAGCCUUCCAAGCUGAGGGUCGCCGGUUCGAAUCCGGUCGCCCGCU
Molecule: transfer RNA, 72 nt
Filed under: Chlorobiota bacterium
Lineage: Bacteria; Pseudomonadati; Chlorobiota
Description: tRNA-Gly
Rfam family: tRNA
About the family: Transfer RNA (tRNA) molecules are approximately 80 nucleotides in length. Their secondary structure includes four short double-helical elements and three loops (D, anti-codon, and T loops).
Source: RNAcentral